Molecule: transfer RNA, 70 nt
Filed under: Cnemaspis huaseesom
Lineage: Eukaryota; Metazoa; Chordata; Lepidosauria; Squamata; Gekkonidae
Description: tRNA-Trp
Source: RNAcentral
AAAUUUAGGAUACACCUUAAACCAGGGGCCUUCAAAGCCCAAAAAAAGAGACCCCCCCCUCUUAAUUUCU